This is a non-coding RNA of Manis javanica (Malayan pangolin), 425 nucleotides long. The record is from RefSeq and is a predicted model, not a curated record. Lineage: Eukaryota; Metazoa; Chordata; Mammalia; Pholidota; Manidae.
UGGUGUGGUUUGCGACACACCAGAGGGCUUUCCUUAAACUUGCACCAGGUGUUCUAAACGUGCUUCUGUUAAUACCUACCACAGGCCACCAGGGCGACAGAGGAGACAAGGGCUUGGCUGGCACGGGUCUUGACGGGCCUCAUGGAGACCAGGGGCUCCAAGGACCACAAGGUGUGCCUGGCAUCAGCAAAGACGGCCGCGACGGGGCCCACGGUGAGCCCGGGCUUCCUGGAGAUCCUGGCCUUCCCGGCGCUGCUGGAGCCCAGGGGCCCCCUGGCAUCUGCGACACCUCUGCCUGCCAAGGAGCCGUGAUGGGAGGCGGCGGGGAAAAAUCAGGUGCUAGACGCUCCUAAAACAGAACCUCAGAAGGGAGAUGAUGAGGAGUCUGGAGCUGCUGUAAAAUAAGCGAGUGAAGGUGGCAGGAU